GUGAAGUGUAAGAUAUAAUAAGCUCUGAAGGACUAGUGAGUUUGAGGGGAGAGGAGGACAUGGAACUGAUUCUCUGAAGAAAGACUGUACAAGUUAGUCCGAGUAGUAUUCUUACUGACAUUCUAAUAAAUGGAAACUGUUUUCAGAGUUUUCAGAUUCCGAUUCUAGUUUGAGCCUCAAUAAUGAGACUUAUCAAGGAGCGGGGCAUUUAAGAGUUGAUCAUUGUCCACCGGUGUCACAAUCAAUGAGCAAAAAUCGGUCAGCAUCCACAGAAUUUGGACAGAUGACUGCAAUAGAUAAAAGAUGACUGUUGGAGUGGUGUUUCUGGGGAAUUACACGCUCCAUGACCUGUGCCAGUUUCAGCUGCCAGGAAACAGAAACAGCAAACAAGAUUUGUCGGCAGAACUAGAUUUAGAAAUGACAUCAGAGGAAGAAGAAGAAAAACCUGUUGGAGAUGAAAAUAACCAUUCCCAGGUAUGUAAAAAUGCAAAUUUAGAUCUCGCUUAAUACAGUUUCCUGUGCUUCAACAGCAUGAUACAGUGUGUAACAAAGGUCAUGACAAAUAAAAUUA
RNAcentral lists this long non-coding RNA (571 nucleotides) under Capra hircus (goat). RNAcentral's name for it is "lncRNA (ENSCHIG00000003598.1)". Lineage: Eukaryota; Metazoa; Chordata; Mammalia; Artiodactyla; Bovidae. The record is from RNAcentral.